Gekko japonicus is the source of this 447-nucleotide long non-coding RNA. RefSeq lists it as uncharacterized. The record is from RefSeq and is a predicted model, not a curated record. Lineage: Eukaryota; Metazoa; Chordata; Lepidosauria; Squamata; Gekkonidae. The transcript is spliced from 4 exons.
UGGAGGCUGGAGCUGGGAGGCCAUGAGCCACAGUGCUGAAACUUUCUCAAGUGGUGUUAGGAAAUGGAAGAUACCAAGAUUCAAACUGUUUCAAAAAGACAUGUUACAAAACUCCUCAAGUCUCCUGACACAGGAAGUAUGUCAUCCAAUGUGUAUGAACCUUGAGGUUAUGUAACCCUUGUGGAUGCCUUAAUGGAACAAACCACCUCCACACCGCUAGGACAUCAUGAAACCCCUUCUAGUGAGUGUUUACUUAGAAGCAAGUUCCACUGAACUCACUUGUACUGAUUCCUACGUAUAUGUGUUGCCUGAAUUAAAAGGCCAAGCAAGGGGUUGGGGGGUGGGGAGAGCAAAGAGUGCCCUUAACGGGGCUGGCCUAGCCCACGAUGCAAGCUAUUCCCAGAAUAUGGUCUCUUUAUGUUAUUUCAGAAAUAAAAUAGACAUAUU